GCGGUAACUCCACAACAUUGCCGCAAGCCGCCGGGAAAGGAGCUAAUCAGUCCGCAGACUUGCGGUGCGGCAGCGUGGAGACCUGCCGUAAUGCGUCGCGCUCCAAUGGGAGCGGUCGCGAGGUACAGGCGGCGGAGGCCCCUGUAUCAAAGUCGGUAACAUGGCA
Molecule: non-coding RNA, 166 nt
Filed under: uncultured Faecousia sp.
Lineage: Bacteria; Bacillati; Bacillota; Clostridia; Eubacteriales; Oscillospiraceae
Description: malK-I RNA
Rfam family: malK-I RNA
Source: RNAcentral